This 271-nucleotide ribosomal RNA is filed under the name uncultured bacterium. RNAcentral describes it as "partial 16S ribosomal RNA". It matches the Rfam family "Bacterial small subunit ribosomal RNA", at positions 524 to 794 of the family's 1533-position model. The record is from RNAcentral.
UACGAAGGGGGCUAGCGUUGCUCGGAAUCACUGGGCGUAAAGGGUGCGUAGGCGGGUCUUUAAGUCAGGGGUGAAAUCCUGGAGCUCAACUCCAGAACUGCCUUCGAUACUGGGAGUCUCGAGUUCGGAAGAGGUGAGUGGAACUGCGAGUGUAGAGGUGAAAUUCGUAGAUAUUCGCAAGAACACCAGUGGCGAAGGCGGCUCACUGGUCCGAUACUGACGCUGAGGUGCGAAAGCGUGAGGAGCAAACAGGAUUAGAAACCCUAGUAGU